RNAcentral lists this long non-coding RNA (213 nucleotides) under Mytilus galloprovincialis (Mediterranean mussel). Lineage: Eukaryota; Metazoa; Mollusca; Bivalvia; Mytilida; Mytilidae. The record is from RNAcentral.
AAAAAAAGACUUUGAAAAUCACGAUGCACGUAAAAUUAAAUAAGCAGAACACGUUGAACGAGGCACCCGUCUUACACGACUGAACGUCAAAUAAAAAAGUAAAAACACGUUGAACCUGAAAUAAAAAACUGCGAUCACGUUUCACGAAAAUAACCCUUUACCACCCUCUGAGAAACAUCCCAAACCUCAUGAACCUUGAAAUGAAAUAUGAGA